This 563-nucleotide ribosomal RNA is filed under the name uncultured Dongia sp. RNAcentral's name for it is "bacterial SSU rRNA". It matches the Rfam family "Bacterial small subunit ribosomal RNA", at positions 335 to 915 of the family's 1533-position model. The record is from RNAcentral. Lineage: Bacteria; Pseudomonadati; Pseudomonadota; Alphaproteobacteria; Rhodospirillales; Dongiaceae.
ACUCCUACGGGAGGCAGCAGUGGGGAAUAUUGGACAAUGGGGGCAACCCUGAUCCAGCAAUGCCGCGUGUGUGAAGAAGGCCUUCGGGUUGUAAAGCUCUUUUGCCAGGGACGAUGAUGACGGUACCUGGAGAAUAAGCCCCGGCUAACUUCGUGCCAGCAGCCGCGGUAAUACGAAGGGGGCUAGCGUUGUUCGGAAUUACUGGGCGUAAAGGGCGCGUAGGCGGAUGUUUAAGUCGGGGGUGAAAGCCCGGGGCUCAACCUCGGAAUUGCCUUCGAUACUGGACAUCUUGAGUACGGGAGAGGUUGGUGGAAUUCCCAGUGUAGAGGUGAAAUUCGUAGAUAUUGGGAAGAACACCGGUGGCGAAGGCGGCCAACUGGACCACAACUGACGCUGAGGCGCGAAAGCGUGGGGAGCAAACAGGAUUAGAUACCCUGGUAGUCCACGCUGUAAACGAUGCGUGCUAGACGUUGGGCACCCUAGGUGUCCGGUGUCGUCGCUAACGCUUUAAGCACGCCGCCUGGGGAGUACGGUCGCAAGAUUAAAACUCAAAGGAAUUGACG